RNAcentral lists this unclassified non-coding RNA (352 nucleotides) under plant metagenome. Its description in RNAcentral is "partial contains small subunit ribosomal RNA, internal transcribed spacer 1, and 5.8S ribosomal RNA". The record is from RNAcentral.
UUUCCGUAGGUGAACCUGCGGAAGGAUCAUUAUAAAUGAAAAACGAAUAACUUCAGGGAAGAAGGGAACCUGCACGGUGACCUCCCCUGUCGGGCCGCCCAAUACCUUCAAAAUGCCGCCGUCCUAGCGGUGGCAGACGAAAAAAAAACAAGAAAAACAAAAUAGAAACAGGCACGGUGGCCCGUUCACCUUCACACAACCCUCCGAGUACCGCUUCCAUGUUGCUUCCCCGCAAAUCCACCUCUUUGGUGAGCGCGGGGGAGGUCCGCAUCAAAUUCACCUGAAUGUCACAGCAGUCAGACAGCCAUUCAUGGAAACAAUAAAACUUUCAACAACGGAUCUCUUGGUUCCC